UUAACUGUAACUCAAAGGUAGAGUGGAUAACUUUUAAUUAUCUUGUUAUAGGUUCGAGCCCUAUCAGUUAAA
Transfer RNA from Melampsora larici-populina 98AG31, 72 nucleotides. It matches the Rfam family "tRNA". From Rfam's summary of the family: Transfer RNA (tRNA) molecules are approximately 80 nucleotides in length. Their secondary structure includes four short double-helical elements and three loops (D, anti-codon, and T loops). Further hydrogen bonds mediate the characteristic L-shaped molecular structure. tRNAs have two regions of fundamental functional importance: the anti-codon, which is responsible for specific mRNA codon recognition, and the 3' end, to which the tRNAs corresponding amino acid is attached (by aminoacyl-tRNA synthetases). tRNAs cope with the degeneracy of the genetic code in two manners: having more than one tRNA (with a specific anti-codon) for a particular amino acid; and 'wobble' base-pairing, i.e. permitting non-standard base-pairing at the 3rd anti-codon position. Lineage: Eukaryota; Fungi; Basidiomycota; Pucciniomycetes; Pucciniales; Melampsoraceae. The record is from Rfam.